RNAcentral lists this ribosomal RNA (446 nucleotides) under uncultured bacterium. Its description in RNAcentral is "partial 16S ribosomal RNA". It matches the Rfam family "Bacterial small subunit ribosomal RNA", at positions 338 to 795 of the family's 1533-position model. The record is from RNAcentral.
CCUACGGGUGGCAGCAGUCGAGAAUCAUUCACAAUGGGGAAAACCCUGAUGGUGCGACGCCGCGUGGGGGAAUGAAGGUCUUCGGAUUGUAAACCCCUGUCAUGUGGGAGCAAAUUAAAAAGAUAGUACCACAAGAGGAAGAGACGGCUAACUCUGUGCCAGCAGCCGCGGUAAUACAGAGGUCUCAAGCGUUGUUCGGAAUCACUGGGCGUAAGGCGUGCGUAGGCUGUUUCGUAAGUCGUGUGUGAAAGGCGCGGGCUCAACCCGCGGACGGCACAUGAUACUGCGAGACUAGAGUAAUGGAGGGGGAACCGGAAUUCUCGGUGUAGCAGUGAAAUGCGUAGAUAUAGAGAGGAACACUCGUGGCGAAGGCGGGUUCCUGGACAUUAACUGACGCUGAGGCACGAAGGCCAGGGGAGCGAAAGGGAUUAGAUACCCUAGUAGUC